UCACCCUAGUUUUCCUCAGAGCGAAUAAAACCUUUCGCCUUUUACUACAGAUUUCCGUGAAGGGAGCACUCAAAUGAGACUAUUCUCAAUUUUUUGUGAGCCUAGCAUUCACUUGCUGGGCG
Ctenocephalides felis (cat flea) is the source of this 122-nucleotide small nuclear RNA. RefSeq annotates it as U5 spliceosomal RNA. NCBI's taxonomy places the organism in Eukaryota, Metazoa, Arthropoda, Insecta, Siphonaptera, Pulicidae. The record is from RefSeq and is a predicted model, not a curated record. The transcript has a single exon.